AACGAACGCUGGCGGCAUGCCUAACACAUGCAAGUCGAACGAGACCUUCGGGUCUAGUGGCGCACGGGUGCGUAACGCGUGGGAACCUGCCCUUAGGUUCGGAAUAACUCCCCGAAGGGGGUGCUAAUACCGGAUAAUGUCUUCGGACCAAAGAUUUAUCGCCUUUGGAUGGGCCCGCGUUGGAUUAGCUAGUUGGUAGGGUAAAAGCCUACCAAGGCGAAGAUCCAUAGCUGGUCUGAGAGGAUGAUCAGCCACACUGGGACUGAGACACGGCCCAGACUCCUACGGGAGGCAGCAGUGGGGAAUAUUGGACAAUGGGCGAAAGCCUGAUCCAGCAAUGCCGCGUGAGUGAUGAAGGCCUUAGGGUUGUAAAGCUCUUUUACCCGGGAUGAUAAUGACAGUACCGGGAGAAUAAGCUCCGGCUAACUCCGUG
This 433-nucleotide ribosomal RNA is filed under the name uncultured bacterium. RNAcentral's name for it is "partial 16S ribosomal RNA". It matches the Rfam family "Bacterial small subunit ribosomal RNA", at positions 29 to 507 of the family's 1533-position model. The record is from RNAcentral.